GAUGAAGUACGUAGUGAAAUGCGAUACGUAAUGUGAAUUGCAGAAUUCAGUGAAUCAUCGAGUCUUUGAACGCACAUUGCGCCCCCUGGUAUUCCGGGGGGCAUGCCUGUCCGAGCGUCAUUGCUGCCCUCAAGCACGGCUUGUGUGUUGGGCCUCCGUCCUCCUCCCGGGGGACGGGCCCGAAAGGCAGCGGCGGCACCGCGUCCGGUCCUCGAGCGUAUGCGGCUUCGUCACCCGCUCUUGUAGGCCCGGCCGGCGCUUGCCGACACAUCAAUCUUUUUUCCAGGUUGACCUCGGAUCAGGUAGGGAUACCCGCUGAACUUAAGCAUAUCAAUAAGCGGAGGA
This 345-nucleotide unclassified non-coding RNA is filed under the name soil metagenome. RNAcentral describes it as "partial contains 5.8S ribosomal RNA, internal transcribed spacer 2, and large subunit ribosomal RNA". The stretch from base 1 to 120 matches the Rfam family "5.8S ribosomal RNA", at positions 35 to 154 of the family's 154-position model. The record is from RNAcentral.